AUUGUAAUAGCGCUGAUUUAAAAAGCCAAGUAAGCUUUAUUUGUGGUGAAGAAGACAGCUAGGAAUUAGGGUGAUAAUUGUGAAAAUUAAAAGCCCCCAACGCCCAACUAGCCCACCCAUGACCAACGCUAGUGUUAAGCUUUAAGCGGUUAGCUAUCUGUCUUUGUAUCUGAAUCUGACCCAUCACUGCAUUUAUGGCUUCCACUCAUUCACAUCACCUUAUAAUUCUCUAACCGUUUCCCGUCCCUCCCCUGCAAGUUGCAACCCACAACAGGAUAACACCACUCUUCUUGUCAAUCUCAAUGAAAGAAAAUGGCGAUCAGCCACUCCCUAAGCCACGGAGGCGCCGCCGCCGCUGCUUCAUCGUUGGCGGGUCGAUUCUACUUUUAUUCUUCAUCCUAUUCAUAGUCAUUCUCAUCCUAGCUUUGACAGUGUUCAAGGCUAAAGAACCUAAGGUCCAGGUUAUCUCAGCUUCCCUAGAAGGCGUUUCUCCUCGCAUCUCAUUCCCAGUUAUCAAUAUUGAACUCAACAUCACCCUUAACCUCACGCUUCGAAUCCAAAACCGAAAUUAUGCCAGCUUCAAGCACGGCCCUGGAAAGAGUUUUAUUCUUUACCAUGCAAAAGAGGUGGGAGAAGUAGACCUGGACCCGGGUGUUAUACCCUCUAGGGGGUCAACGACGACUCCGUGCAGGCUUACUAUAGAGGUGGAUGAGUUAGCAUCAAAUCUGAUAAGCUUGAUCGGUGAUAUAUUGUCUGGACAACUUGUUAUGGAAACACGUACAAGAAUUCCAGGGCGGAUUAAUUUCCUGGGGGUAUUCAAGAAGCAUGCUGUUGCUAAAUCUGCAUGCGAGUUCACCUUUGCUUUUCCUGCCAUGAAGAUUAAAAACCUGAAGUGCAAGAGCAAGACCAAGUUAUGAAAGUAAAUCUCACAAAGAUGGCUACAUGAGUGUGUGGUUUUUGAUUGAAGAAUCCUUAGCUCCAGAUUUUAGAUCCCAGUUUUGCCUCCCAGCCCUAUCAUAUGAUGGUUACCCACCAAAGGCCUAUCAACAUAGAAUGGUUUAUUGUUUACUGUUUUAGGCUGAUCUGAUUUUUGGGUUCAGUAUUGUAGAUUUUCUUGUAAAAUCCAGAUCCAUUUGUCUUGUGCCUUUGUGCAGACACCUCGAGGCCAGACAAAUUCUUGUUCAUAUAUAUAUAUAUAUGCAAACAAAGUUUUCUUAGUGCUUUUUUUUGGGGGGCUAUCUAUAGAUGAAUUAUAUUUAUACACAAUUCGAGACCUGUUAACCCAGCAUGUGUUGAAAUUUGAUUAGGCUUUAAGAAGGUCUGGUCUGACAUGUAAUUGCCAAUCUCAUCGCGCGCUUUCAAUCCAGAAGGGAGCUUCAUCACCAUUGCAUUUGUUUCUAUAGUUGCCAAAUUGCAAUUCCGCAGUUGAAAGGAGAAAAUGCGUUAAAAAUGACAGUGAUCUUUUCUGUUACAUUGGCUACUUAGCAGAUUAAGUAGAAGUAUUAAUUCUGUAGCAUGAGGAAACUAAUUAUAAAUAACAAAAUACCAACGCUUAGCAUAAGCUUUUGUCUUUACCAGCAGCAUAGUUGGUUGAUAAUUACAGAUUCAGGUAAGAAAAACACCUAUAUCACCUACUAUAGUAUCAGACUAUGAGCAGAUGCAGAUCAAGUUUAAACUCAGAACCAUCAUCCCAAAUCAUCAUUUGUGAGGCGACCGCAUGCAUCCCAAAGUGAAUAUGUAUUCCAAGCUAGGCAGUGUACUGACAAAGCAAACCAAUAAAUGAUGGAGCACAAAUGCACAAUUUGCCGCUGCCAAGUCGAACAAUAUGCUAGUAUAAUGAAACUCAAUGUCGAGCAUGCACAGGGCAGUACAUUGCUGGUUUAUUGGCCAGUUUUAGUUACCAACAAAAGCAUGGGAUUCUGUUGCUGCAUGAUGCACAUUCUCUGGCGCAGUUCCUCCACAGGAUUUUCAAAUUAGUUAUUCCAAGAGAAGGUGCUUUACGUUGUUCCUACCAAACAACCCCUCAGAAAUGAAAGGAACCCCUUUCUUAUCCAAUUCAUCAAUUACCUUCAUUAUUCUCAUUAUUAUUUCAUGGAAUUCAUCAAUCACAUACGCACAAUCAUCCAUAUCAGUCAAAAAGGUAUUAGAUCAUUAUUACUUAGGCUCAAACACAAUGCCACCGGGCAGAGAAAGGAAGACAUUCAUGUUCACGAAUGUAGAAGCUAACAUUAUGAUUCCACGAAUGUAGAAGCUAACACUAUGAUUACACAAAGAUGCACAUAAACAAUGAACUGAUCUUGUUGCUGUCUGAGAAAAGAAACACUUGAUGAUUUCCAAGGAAAUUAAUAAAGCAUCAACAAUUCCUUUACAAUGCUACUAGUACACUGUAAUCUUGGUCAGACAGCAAUUUCCCCUGUCUAAAUUAGAUCUCUAAGGCACACAAGUUAAACUCGAGAGUCACAAAAGUUAGAGCUUUAACUAAUACAUAAUGCACGCUUGCAAAACUAGUUGGCAGGGUAGUGUCACAUUUUCAACAUCACAGGUAAGGCCCACCAUCAGAAUUCAAUCUUUCUGCAUAAUCCCAAAUCAAUAAGCCUUGAUUUACCAGUUGGUUUCAACGGAGCACCUGGGCAAGUUUCAGCAACUUGAUUUAGUCGAGGAGCUGAGGGAGGUGUUCUGCAAGCAUCAGAAUCCCAUUCCAUAUUUGAUAGUUCAGCAAAAGCACUCUCUGUUUGCUCACAAAUAAUAGCCUCCAAGAGAUUUUCAUAGACUGAUUUGAACAUCUCCUCAUCUAAAAUGGACUCCACUCCAUCACCAGGACUUGUAUGGCCCAAACCCUUGAGGGAAGUUCCAAAGUUGAGUCUUCGUGCAACACUGAUCCUUGCUUCAUCAAAGUAUUUCUUAGACUGGGGAGCGAAGACUUUGUCAUCUUGACUGGGAGCAAAUGGGUCAAAAACACCAUCUUUAGGUGUUUUGGGGCUGCUAGAAUUGUGAACAUUGGGGAAUUGAUCCUGAUUUCUGUUGGUUUUAGAAUCAAAGGUAAGUACUUUAGGCAGUUUUGUCACCAUAGUGAACGGAGAACUAAGAUCCAAGAGAAAAUCCCCAUUUUCUUUGUUUGCAUCAGGAGUGAUAGGCCCAAGAGAUAGCUCAAUUUUUGCCUUAUCAGCUUCUUCACUACAAGUUUCAUCCAAACUUUGCGUGGACUUUUGGGAUGAGUCAUGGCUUUUCCCCAUUUCAUGGGUACAAGUAUAAGAAUCCAUAAAACCUAUAUGAUAAUGACAAAGAAAAUGAACAGAAAGUUAUCCGUAGAGAAGAAAUCAAUCAUAGCUAUCAGUAAACCUCUUUUAAAAAAUGUUAAAUCUAAACUAAAAUCAAUUUUUUGGGGGAAAAAAAAGAGAAAUCAUCCCAAUGAAAACAUGCAGAAUCAUGCAUCCUAGGGAUUUUGCAAGUCUAAAUUAAAUAAAAAAUCUUAAAGUUCCUACAUUUUGCACAAAAAACUGAGAUACUCCAAUUAAAAUCUCAGAUACACACAAUUGAUUCAGCCACAUACAUAAGAGAGUGAGUUAACAAAACCCUAAAAUCCAUAGUGAAAGUAUCUAAACUCCGACUCCAAAAGGGAACAGAGAAAUUUCAGAUGAGAGAAAAUGAAUGAGAGCUUACCUGAUUUGAUGGAAGUCCUGGCGGAGGAAGAUAUAGCAAAACUUGCAACGGGGGCGUCGUUUACAGCCGGGGAAAGAAAAUGCUAGAGCAUUUAGAGAGAAAAUGAAUUAAACGGCACCGUGUUUGGUGAAUGCUGAAUGGUUUGACUGGUUUUCAUAAUCUAGGGCUUUUCAAGUUCCAACUUGCAAACUGAAUUGGGAUAUCACAUGAUGAGAUCUAUGAAUCUGAGUUUGCGUUUUUUUUUGGUCUGGGC
RNAcentral lists this unclassified non-coding RNA (3913 nucleotides) under Hevea brasiliensis (rubber tree). The record is from RNAcentral. Lineage: Eukaryota; Viridiplantae; Streptophyta; Magnoliopsida; Malpighiales; Euphorbiaceae.